Molecule: long non-coding RNA, 2648 nt
Organism: Nannospalax galili (Upper Galilee mountains blind mole rat)
Lineage: Eukaryota; Metazoa; Chordata; Mammalia; Rodentia; Spalacidae
Exons: 2
Source: RefSeq, a predicted model, not a curated record
UUUGCAUGAGUUGAUUCUUUCUUUCCACUAUUUGAUUCCCAGGGAUCAAACUCAGGUUCUCAGACUUGGUAGCAAGUGCCUUAAUUCACUGAGCCAUCUUGCCAGCCCACCACUCAGUUUUUCCAGUGGUUCUUGAUGUCCUUAUGCUUUUAUGAAAGUACUUUAACUACUGAGUCAUCUCCCCAGCUCUUAAAUCUUCUUUAAGCAUGAAAACUUGAUUCAAGUAACGUGGGUGUUCUGGGUAAGCAAACAAGCAUAAUAAAACACAAUUAAUGAAAGGACAUAAUCCAAUUCUUUUUGUAGUUUUAUUUAAAAACCAAGGUCAGCAUUAUUUUUAUUAGGAAAAUACACUAAGGAAAAUUCCAAACAUCUCAGACAAUUAAAAAAUUAUCUUAGGGGCUGGGGAGAGCACACACUGCUCUUGCAGAGAACCAAAGCUUGGUUCCCAGCACCCAGGUUGGACAGCUCACAACCAUCUGUAAGUACAGCUUCAGGGGAUUCCAUACUUUCUCCUAGACCCUGUGGACACCUGAACUCAUGCACACACACUAAAAAAUAUUUUUAAAAAUUUAAAAUCUAAGUAUAAAAGGAUCAAGAAGGGUGUUAUAGCCUGGUAUAGACACACACCUUUAACCCCAGCACUCAAGAGGCAGAGGCAGAUAGAUCUCUGUGAGCUCAAGACCAGCCUAGUCUGCAUAGCAAGUUACAGACCAGCUGAGGCUACAGAGAGACCCUGCCUCAAACAAACAAACAAGCAAACAAACAAAAGUAUGUUAUUAUUACUGCGUGUGUGCAUGAUGCGUGUAUAUAGGUGCACAUGCACAGAUGUGGAGGUCAAAGGACAACUUGUGAAGUCUGUCCUCCUUGCACCUUUAGAUAGGCUCUGGGAAUUGAACUUGUCUCCAGACUUGCAAGGCAAGCACUUUUACUGCUGAGCCAUCUCACUGCUCCCUUCCCCCUUUUAAAAGUGAUAGAUUUUAUAUUUAGAGGAAUUAAUGGAGAUGACUUUAAAGAGGCCAAAGGAUUUAAUUAAUUUUGACAAUUAAAUGUUUUACAGUGCCAUUUGUUUAUUUAGUCAUCAAUCCAGAGAAUUUAAGAUCAUAAGCACAAUUAAAAUUUUGGACAAUAAGCAAAUUUUUACAAAUAAUUUAAACAUUUGACCAUUAAAAUGGAUUGUUACAAUCAUUAUGUACUUUAGCAGGAAUGUCCCAAGUAGGAAGAAUUUGAAUUCUUUCUGACAAAUGACUGGCUUUCUGAAAAGGUAAGGUUUACAGAAUGCUGCUCUCUGAGCAUAACAGCCAUGGCCAUCUUCAUCAGUCAGCUGUGACUGUUCUCCAGAGACCCUGUAGAUUGUGCCUACUGAUAGUCCCUUUUAGAAGGGAGGGGAGUGAGAGAUGACCGACCCUCACUUGCAAUCUCAGCCCCUUCCUCCUCAUGAGCAUCUGGCCCUGCAAACAUUAUAUAGUUCUGUCCUAAUUCCACGUGGCCUGGUGGUCUCAGGAGGUGCUAGAGCUUGUAGAGGGUGGAAGGCUAACUGAAGGGAAGACUCCAUUUGUGCAGCUAUGGGGGACAUCAUCAUCCAUGCUGGCAGGAUGCUUUUCAGUGGUGUGACUGCUUUGGGGUCAGCCUCUGAAAGUAGUAGAUUUGGAAGAGGACUGUCAGGAGCUUUGACAGAAGCUGCAAGGCCCCUGCUUCCGGGGACAGGUCCCAUACUCCUGUAAAGUGACCCCUUGCCUAUGCUUUGUAAGUCAGCCCAAUAAACUCAUUGUUUUACCAAAUUGGGCUUUGUUGGAAUCAUUACUUGGGUCUGCCAUUGAAACCCUAUCUGGGCCGCAGGUGUUUAAGUCUCCCCAGGAAAAGUUCAUGCAACGCUAGGCUCUGGAACAGGGACACAACAGAACCAAAGAUGUGUUUGGAAGGCAGCUAUCCUCACCAAUAUACCAUCAAGUUUGGGAAGAGCAAUUACAUUGUUCCUAGUAGGGGUGAUGAGACAUACAAGAGAAGCUAGGCUGUCUGAGGGUGGACCAUCUGCAGGGGAGUCUCUGUGAGGCCGUCAUUCUCCAUGCUUUAUGGAAUGGUGGAUGGCUGCGUACUGUGAUAGCCGUUGCAUUGCCCCCACCAUAGAUGACAAGACAAGCAACCAAGACUAAGUCAUUUGCCCAGAGGGGAAGUUUUAGUGAGAAGUCCAUGGGGGAAUGCCAGUAGGGCUGUGUUCCUCUAAGUCUAACAGGGUGGCAUGCCUCUUUGAUGAAUUUGGUCUACCAAGACAGUCCAGGGGCAUCCUGAGAAUGGAUGAAGGACUGAAGAGUCCUCCAACUGCAGCCUCUGAAAGUAGCAGAUUUGGAAGAGGACUGUCAGGAGCUUUGGCAGAAGCUGCAAGGCCCCUGCUGUGGGAGACAGGACCUGCAACUGAGGCUCGGCUGUCUGCCCAGAAAGAACUUGCCCAUAGCCCCCUGGAGGCUUUGUCCACUGGGACUGAGCUCAGAAACCGAAGCAGCUGCGGACAUCUUAACUGUGGGCAAGAGGCGCUAAUUACCAGGGAACCUUCAACAGCAGCAGCAGGGGACAAAUUCUAGUGUGGACAAACCCAGAACCAACAUGUGAACAUACUCGAGCUAUUAAAUGCCUUUCUCUAAAAUCAGAAGACA